GGUGGAGCAUUUAGGAGCACUUAGAGCACUGGCCACCUAACCCUGAGACCCCCUUGUUAGGAGAAGUGGGCCACAGAAUGGGUUAGGGGGACACUAGGUCACCUGACAACCUCAAGGACACUUCUGUAGGACCAGGAGCUCUGUAAGACAACACACAGUCCCCCACCCCACAGCUCAUGCUCUGAGGGACCCAAGACUCAGCUAAAGCUGUCCAUGUGCAUAUAAAAAUUACUGGGGCAAGUGGAACAUAACAAUCUGGACAGAAAAAGGACUUUAGGAAACAUCUGUCAAGCAAUCAGACUUAAAUGUCCAGAAGCAUUGUCCUUGGCUCUUAUAAAGAUCCAGAAUAUUCCAAAUAGGGGACAUGGAAGUAGCAUGUAACCUUAAAAUGAGGAUUUCCAGGGCCAAUUCCCAGGCCCUGGAAGUGGUCAGCAUCACGAAGUAGACAGCUUUUCCCAAGAUCAUGGAGUAGGCAACUUUCCUUUCACCUGUCUCUCCUUAAAACAAAUGAGCAAGUGAACAAACAGAAACACCCUACCUUCACGCUACAACCCAGCAACAACGACAAAAUCAAACACUCCUUUUCUUAUUAAGACUUGUCCAUAUUAAUGAAUCACAAAGUUGGCUGGAGACCACGGGU
Lutra lutra (Eurasian river otter) is the source of this 640-nucleotide long non-coding RNA. RefSeq lists it as uncharacterized. The record is from RefSeq and is a predicted model, not a curated record. The transcript has 3 exons. Lineage: Eukaryota; Metazoa; Chordata; Mammalia; Carnivora; Mustelidae.